RNAcentral lists this long non-coding RNA (1099 nucleotides) under Anser brachyrhynchus (Pink-footed goose). RNAcentral describes it as "lncRNA (ENSABRG00000001817.1)". The record is from RNAcentral. Lineage: Eukaryota; Metazoa; Chordata; Aves; Anseriformes; Anatidae.
GCAGCCAAGGCAAACACAAACGGAAGACAGAUAAUUUGCACACAAUGGCGCGCACGUGUGCUUGGUGUGCGCGCGCGUACGUGUGCGUGUGCGUGCACACGCAGCCUUUGUUUACAGCCCGCUGCUGGGGCUGGAAGUGAGCCCCCGCCCUUUUGGUUUGCAAUCGUUCAUCUUGUAGUUUUGUGGGCGUCUCGGUGCAAACAAGAAGGGAGCCUCACGUACACGAGCUGGGCAGGUGGUUAGGUGGGCGCUUCCAGGUGCACGGCUGCGACUCCGAUAAGAUCUUUCCCCCUGUGCUUUCUCUAAGCUUUAUGAGGUCAAAUAAUAAAGCGUAAAAAUACAGGGCUGAUUCCAGGAUCGGUCAGCCUCAGAGGCUUCAAAGUGUGUCUCCGGGACACUUCCCUCAGCCACCUGGGGCUGUUUGGGAACCACGAAGGAGGGAGAGGGCUGACAAAGUGAGCUGUCCCGCCUGGAGGAGAGGGGCUCAGCCCUGUGAUCCGGUUAACCUGUCCUCCCAAGGGUGUGGGGCCGUGGGGUUUGUACAAAUCAGGCUGAGCCAAGGCUGAAUUUUUGAAGGUGUGGAUGGGAGAAGCUGUUCCCCUGGUGUGUUUGGCGUCGUAUCUGUGGUAAGACACGUGGUGACAAAGGAAAUUAAAAACUUGAGAAGCAGCAGGGAGGAUGCGAGCGUGUUAUGCCUGCAUUUUUCUGAAGGCUUUUGCCUUUCUUUCUCCUGUUCCCAGGUCCUUUUGUAAAGGUCAGGUCAUCCUGAGCUAUCACACAGCAGCCUGGAGCAGAGGAGGAGGUGCUGCCUGGGUCUGAGUUGCUGUUUGGGUGCGCAUACAGCGAGGCUCAUUAACUUCUGCUGCUCAGGAGAUACCACCCAAACCACAAGUGGGCUGCUCAUCUCAGACACCCGACCUUCACGCUCCUCGCAGGGAUCCUGGUGCUUGUACGAGGACCAGGAGAGGGAUUUGCUGCCGGUGAAGGCCGUGGCAGGUGAGUGGCUUUUGCUCCUGCCAUGGACCUGCUGCCUGCUUGGUUUUUAGCAUUGCUCAGUGCAUCUUGUUCUGCAAUCACCGUGCUGUCUGUUCGGGCUGAA